GACGAACGCUGGCGGUGUGCCUAAUACAUGCAAGUCGAACGCAGUGGGGACGGGUGAGUAACACGUGGGUAACCUCCCAUCAGAGGGGAUAACACUUGGAAACAGGUGCUAAACCGAUACUGAUGGAUGGAAACGCGGUGCAUUAGCUAGUUGGGGAGGUAACGGCUCACCAAGGCCACGAUGCAUAGCCGACCGGAGAGUGUGAUCGGCCAAAUGAGGACUGAGACAGGGCCCAGACUCCUCCGGGAGGCAGCAGUAGGGAAUCGUCGGCAAUGGACGAAAGUCUGACCGAGCACCGCCGCGUGAGGGAAGAAGGUUUUCGGAUCGUAAAACUCUGUUGUUAGAGAAGCGGUAUCUAACCAGAAAGCCACGGCGAACUACGUGCCAGCAGCCGCGGUAAUAC
Molecule: ribosomal RNA, 403 nt
Filed under: uncultured bacterium
Lineage: Bacteria
Description: partial 16S ribosomal RNA
Rfam family: Bacterial small subunit ribosomal RNA
Source: RNAcentral